This 262-nucleotide ribosomal RNA is filed under the name uncultured prokaryote. RNAcentral's name for it is "partial 16S ribosomal RNA". It matches the Rfam family "Bacterial small subunit ribosomal RNA", at positions 524 to 784 of the family's 1533-position model. The record is from RNAcentral.
UACGUAGGGUGCGAGCGUUGUCCGGAAUUACUCGGCGUAAAGAGCUCGUAGGUGGUUUGUCACGUCGUCUGUGAAAUUCCGGGGCUUAACCUCGGGCGUGCAGGCGAUACGGGCAAUACUUGAGUGCUGUAGGGGAGACUGGAAUUCCUGGUGUAGCGGUGAAAUGCGCAGAUAUCAGGAGGAACACCAAUGGCGAAGGCAGGUCUCUGGGCAGUUACUGACGCUGAGGAGCGAAAGCAUGGGUAGCGAACAGGAUUAGAUA